GACGAACGCUGGCGGCGUGCCUAAUACAUGCAAGUCGAACGCUGAAGCUUGGUUCUUGCACCGAGCGGAUGAGUUGCGAACGGGUGAUUCACGCGUAGGUACCCUGCCUGGUAGCGGGGGAUAACUAUUGGAAACGAUAUCUAAUACCGCAUAAGAGUAGAUGUUGCAUGACAUUUGCUUAAAAGGUGCAAUUGCAUCACUACCAGAUGGACCUGCGUUGUAUUAGCUAGUUGGUGAGGUAACGGCUCACCAAGGCAACGAUACAUAGCCGAGCUGAGAGGGUGAUCGGCCAAACUGGGACUGGGACAAGGCCCAGACUCCCAAGGGGGGGAGCAGGAGGGAAACUUCGGAAAUGGACGGAAGUCUGAACGAGCAAAGCCGCGUGGGUGAAGGAGGGUUUCGGAUCGUAAAGCUCUGUUGUAAGGGAAGAAAGAGUGUGGGAGUGAAAAGUUCACACUGUGACGGUAUCUUAACAGAAAGAGACGGCUAACUACGUG
This 497-nucleotide ribosomal RNA is filed under the name uncultured bacterium. RNAcentral describes it as "partial 16S ribosomal RNA". It matches the Rfam family "Bacterial small subunit ribosomal RNA", at positions 28 to 507 of the family's 1533-position model. The record is from RNAcentral.